Molecule: ribosomal RNA, 198 nt
Filed under: uncultured bacterium
Lineage: Bacteria
Description: partial 16S ribosomal RNA
Rfam family: Bacterial small subunit ribosomal RNA
Source: RNAcentral
ACGCUCGACACCUACGGGAAGCAGCAGUGGGGAAUAUUGCACAAUGGGGGAAACCCUGAUGCAGCGACGCCGCGUGAGUGAAGAAGUAUUUCGGUAUGUAAAGCUCUAUCAGCAGGGAAGAAAAUGACGGUACCUGAGUAAGAAGCCCCGGCUAACUACGUGCCAGCAGCCGCGGUAAUCUGAGCGGGCUGGCAAGGC